Molecule: long non-coding RNA, 5553 nt
Filed under: Sus scrofa (pig)
Lineage: Eukaryota; Metazoa; Chordata; Mammalia; Artiodactyla; Suidae
Description: lncRNA (ENSSSCG00025009180.1)
Source: RNAcentral
ACUAUUCUGAACCACUCUGCAAUGAAAAUCUGUGACUAGAGUUUACAAAUGCCCAUGAUUCAUUACCUAGGACAAAUAGUAUUUUCCAGCUCAUUUAUAAUUUUCUCUUUGGCCCCAGAGUUAUUUGGGAGAUAAUUGCUUAGUUUGGUUUGUUGUGUUUUGUUUUAUUUAGAAAUCUUGUUUUCUUUAGUAUACUUUUUAUUCAAGAUUUAGAUACUUACAAAAACAUAUCAAAUCGUACGGAUGAGCUCGCUGAGUUUUUACCAAGGAAACCCAGCCGUGUAACUGGAGCUGAGCUGUAAGAACAGAACACUGCCACCUUGUCAGGGACCCGUUUGCCUCGUUCCAGGCAUGCCCUGCUCGCCGUGUCGUGACCUCCCACACCAGGGAUUAGUUAGGGCUGUUUCUGAGUUUUCUAUAAAGGGAACCCUAAAACGUAUGAUUGUGUGUCUGUGAGAUGCACUCAUGUGACUGUAUGAGGUGGCGUGUGUCCACUUUCCCUGCUGCAAAGUUCUGGGGCAGGAAAAAUCACUCUCAUGUGUUGAUGCUUCUGCUAUGGAUGAACAGGUAGUACCAUCCCCAAUAGCACUGCCGUGAGCGUUCGAAUCAUGACCUUCCAUCAGUAAUAUCCUGGCGAGCCUGGACCCAGGGCCCUUCAGAAAAAAAGCUCUGGCAAGUGUCUGCCGAUGGCCACGGUGUAAAUCCUCCCAGCAGGCCUGACUUCCGGCUGCCGCCAGGACGUCACUGAGACCGGAGCUGGGAAGAGAUAUAAGCUGUGGGGUCUUGCCAGUUCCAGGGCACCGCUGCUCCAGGCGCUCAGGCGGGCAUGUCUCUGGGUGCGUGCGUGCACCUAGCGGUAAAGACGCCGGUUACGGGGCAGCCGUGCUUCAGCUCUGGGACUAACAGAUCCUGACAUGUCCCAAGGGGGUGACGUGCAAAUAUAUUCUGGACUUCGUGGCCGUGGUGCCAGAGGGUUAUGAAUCAGAGGUCAAACUGCAGAGGUGCCGGUUUGAUCCCUGGCCCAGCGCAGCGGGUUAAAGGAACAUGCACAGGCAAGGGAUUGACCCCACCUCCUCACUGAGCCACAGUGGGAACUCCUUAUCUUUAUUUAUUUAUUUGCUUUUUUAUGGCCACUCCUGUGGCAUAUGGAAGUUCCUGGGCCAGAGACUGAAUCCUGUGGCCACAAGUGCUCCCUACGCCAGAGCUGUGGCAAUGCCAGAGCUUUUAAAGAAAGAAAGAAAGAUGAAAGAAAGAAGAAAAGAAAGAAAGAAAGAAAGAAAGAAAGAAAGAAAGAAAGAAAGAAAGAAAGAUGAAAGAAAGAAGAAAAGAAAGAAAGAAAGGAAGAUAAAUACAUUCUUUGGGAUUUUUUUUCAUUAGCUGUGUCUGAUUUUUCAAUAUUAUGGUCAAAAUAUGCCUGCAUUAUUUCGGGGGUAUUUACUGAGGUGAUACGGUUAUUUACGGCUCUUUGGGGGGGUACCUGUUCCCUGGCCAUUUCACAGAAGAGAAAGUAUAUUUCCGACUUUGCCAUUCCUGCCCCCAUCCACAGGACCAAGUCUGGAUGGUGAGUUAUUUUAUGCUUCUAUAGGUGUACUUUUGUUUCUGGAUCUGUGAAUAAAACCCAGAAGAUGACACUAAUCUCAUGGCCCACUGAAAUGUACAUCAUGGAGCUGAAGCAACCAGCCCGAGGCCAGAGGUGGAGACAGUCUACACCUGCCACCUUAGCCCCAGGCCUCUGAGGCUAACAGGACCCCAGGGCACAUGGCGAGGAUUAGACAUGGCAAUGAACUCUGAGACUCUCAGGCUGACAUGGGGAAAGGGUGUCUAGUGAGCACUGGCCGCUCGUUCUCAUCUUUCAGGUGAUGCUCGAAGGAGCUGGAUGAAUGUAGCAUGGAUGGAUGCAUGGAUGCAUGGAUGCAUGGAUGAACGCAUGCCAAAAAUGAACCCAAAGGCCCCCACUCUGCAUCAAUGUUCCGUCCUCCUGUGGAAAGGACACUUGGGUUUGCAGACGAGACAUAUUGGCUUCAUGAGCCUCUGGGAACUCUGCGGAGGUGGCGUCCCCCGGGGGCAGCUGGACCCGCCCCCUCGCCCUCCUGCUGAGGUGACUGAGGCUUUAUCCAGCAGCCGUGGCCGCCAGCCCAGCCCAGCCUGUCCUGCCCUGCGGACCUGGCCCUCUGGGCUCCGGAGCGAAAGAACAAUGGUGGCCUUGUUGCCACUUCCCCGUCCCCUCCACGGUCCCAGUUACUCAUCAAGGAUGUUGGCCAGCCCAGCCCCGGAACACAGCGUGCUUGUCCCUUGAUUAAGCAGCAGCCACGCUCAGACAGUGGCCCUGCAGGAGGUGGCCGAUGAGUUCAUCUCUUGGCCAUUCAGACGACCCAACCGCCAUGGACUUGGGCAGGAGAUGGGUCAAUGGGAGGGCAGGCUGGGUGGGCCCCUCCAGAGGCCACCCCCGAAGGAGAACAGCAUCCUCUCCCCAGGGGGGCCCAGGCAUGUCGGAUGGGAAGGGGCGGGUCUGUGGCCUCCUUGUGCAAAGAUGGGUCCCAGAGGGAGGACUGACCAGCGGCCACCUCGUAGGGCUGGUUAUAUCCGCAACUGAGACGGGGCUUCUUUAAAACAACUACCUUGCAGGAAGAAAAAAAAAAAGAAAGAAAUCAAAGCUUUGUCACCCUCCUGCUCAAUCCCAGAGUGCAUCCCUCUGCACUUAGAAUAAAAUCACAAGAUUUCCAUGAUCUGACCCCAAAUCUUCUCUCUCCUCCUGGGCUCUGGGUGUUGUACACACUGGCCUGAUUUCUGGCCAUGAGACCCAGUGGCCCGCGCUCUCUCAGGCCUUUCCUUCUGCCUGGACGGGCCUCCUCUCCACCUCCAACCCGCUCUCGGAGUGGCUGGUUCCUGGUGGGGAGGCAGUGGUACCCCAUGCCCCCAUCCCCCAGGCUCAUGGAACGGAACAGUACCUGCCCGCGGGAGGAGCUAAGAGAUGCUCCCCAAAUGGGGGGGUGCCUCAGGAGCCAGCACAAGGCCUGGCACAGCGGUGCUCAGGAAUGAGGGAGGGAGGGGAGAUGGAGAGAAACCAUGGUGUGACUUGAGACAGAAAGGGAGGUGACAUAGAAAGGGCCCUCAUAGGGUCCCCUUUGAGCCAAGGUCCUACUCACCCACCCAAAGCAUUCCACCUUGCUGAGCCGGGGCACUGCACCCCAGGACAGCAGGUGUCAGGGACCCCUUUCCUAACCCAUGUUAACCUCUGCCCUGCUUCAGGGCUGGCUUUGUCCCAUGAGGGUCACCCAUUUAGGUCAAGAUAACCCACAACUGCAAACCCGCUGGAAAAUCCUCAACAACCCUUUCUAGGGUCGGCAGCGCUCCAAGCACUGGGGGAAAGGGUUGCUGGGUGAGUACAUGACCCGCCUUCAGGGAGCCCCCAGGCCUUGGAGCUGGGCAGGCAGAAAGAGCCAGAUGCCUGGGAUUGACUGUGGAGCCAACCUCACUUGUGCUGCCCACUGGCCCUUUAGACGCUUCACUGGGACAGAGCGUUGCCACCAACUGGAGAAGAAUUCAGGCAAAUGACAAUGACUCUACCAGACCCUCCAACCUGGAAGCAACCUACGUGUCCGUCAACAGAGGAGUGGAGGAGGAAGAUGUGUUCCAUACAUACAAUGGAAUAUUACUCAGCCAUGAAAAAAGAAGGCAAAAUGCCAUUUACAGCAACAUGGAUGGACCUAGAAAUGAUCAUACUAAGUGAAGUCAGACAGAGAAAGACAAAUGUCAUAUGAUAUCACUUAUGUGUGGAGUCCCAAAAAUGAUACAAAUGAACUUAUUUACAAAACAGAAACAGAGUCAUAGCCUGCGAAAACAAACGGAUGGGUUACCAAAGGUGAAGGUGAAGGAGAGGGACGGGCUGGGGGUGUGGGGUGGGUACACCAUUUUAUGUGGAGUGGACAGUCCACAGGGACCUGCUGCAGAGCACAGGGAACUCUGCUCCGGACUCUGCGAUCGUCUACACAGGAAAAGGAUCUGAGAGGGCGUGGAUGCGUAUACACGUGUCACUGAAUUGCUUUGUCGCACAGCAGAAAUGAGCACAACCUUGCGUAUCAGCUAUAUGUCAAGGAGACUUUAAAAAAUGAGAAGGACUUCCUGUCGUGGCUCAGGGGUUAACGAACCUGACUGGCAUCCAUGAGGACGCGGGUUCGAUCCCUGGCCUCGCUCAGUGGGUUAAGGAUCCAGCGUUGCCAUGAGCUGUGGUGUAGGUUGCAGACGCGGCUCGGAUCCUGCAUGGCUGUGGCUCUGGUGUAGGUUGGUGGCCACAGCUCCGAUUGGACCCCUAGCCUGGGAACCUCCAUAUGCUGCAGGUGCAGCCCUAAAAAGACAGGGGAAAAAAAGACAAAAAAAAAACAUAUGAACCCUCUUCCCAACAGGCCUGAGGCUAGGGAGCUGCCCGCAGCAGGGGAUCCCUCAACCAGGUCCAGGGGCAAAGCUGGGGGCCGGUGGGGGGAGAGUGGGUGAGGUGGACAGCCCUGCCCUGCCUGGGUCUGCAGAGGCUCCCCCGUGGAUCGGAACUCCUGGGGUGGGGGGUGGCUCUGGCUCUGGGUGCACCCAAGGGCCAGUAUCUUGGGGAGGAGGCCUUUUCCCCUAAGAGGGUCCCCAGAAUCCUGGUGCCCAAGAUGCAGGCAGCACGGACCUCUCAGAUGGGACCAACCCAGGCCAACUUUGCCCCAGAGGCUCAAGUCCCCUGAGCGCUCCAAGGGCAGGACACAUGCACAGAGCCUCAGGGGUCCCGUGAAGCCUCCAUGUGUGGUAAGUGAGGGCCUCCCCUCCUCUUCCUUCCUCAGAGAGGGCACAGCCCGUGCCCCUGCGACGCACGAAACCCUUGCCCCACCUGCACGGGCUCAGGACACUGGCUCCCGUGCCUGGGGCCAGAUGCUCCCCUCUGGGAGCCUGUUUCUUCAUCUGGACCACAGAACUGGGACCCCCUCUCCAGGCCCCGGGGGCGGGGGGGUGAGAGUCCGUGGGAGAGCUUGGGUGAGCCCUGGAGUUAUUAUGGGAUGGGUGGUCUCGCAGCGAAGCGGAGGUGGAGGAAACGCUUCCAAACCUCCCCGAGCCCCAGCCUGGGCCCAGCUAAGCGCUGGCUCCGGGCCUGCAUCUCUGCCGACUUUGAACUCACUGUGUUCCCAGCCUGAUCCGCGGCCGCAGAGCCCUGGCCAGGAACCGGGUUCAAGUCCAUUGAAGUCCUUCCAGGGCUGGGCUGGACUCUUUCCUGCUGUGUCCGGCCCACUGUUUCAACAGGAAACAAAGCGUCCCCUUCAGAACGGGCGUCAGUGCACAUUUCGUGGUCACAGAGCCACAGGCAUCUUGCUGCAGAUCAGAACGUCUCCACAGACAUCCCAGGGGCUGGAGGCAGGGCAGGUGCCCAGCAGUCAAGACAGGGCCAUCCCAGAGCCCAGCUGGGCACUGGGGCGAGGCUGCCACAGUCUCUUCCCUCCAAGACAUGGCUGGAUCUGAAUUCCUGGCUGCAGCCCCUGGCCUGGAGGGUGGGCUAUGCCACGGUGAAGGCCUUCCCUGGAGAGC